CUCUCGGCAACGGAUAUCUCGGCUCUCGCAUCGAUGAAGAACGUAGCAAAAUGCGAUACCUGGUGUGAAUUGCAGAAUCCCGCGAACCAUCGAGUUUUUGAACGCAAGUUGCGCCCGAGGCCUUCGGGCUGAGGGCACGUCUGCCUGGGCGUCACGCCA
This 159-nucleotide ribosomal RNA is filed under the name Axonopus capillaris. RNAcentral's name for it is "5.8S ribosomal RNA". It matches the Rfam family "5.8S ribosomal RNA". From Rfam's summary of the family: 5.8S ribosomal RNA (5.8S rRNA) is a component of the large subunit of the eukaryotic ribosome. It is transcribed by RNA polymerase I as part of the 45S precursor that also contains 18S and 28S rRNA. Functionally, it is thought that 5.8S rRNA may be involved in ribosome translocation. Lineage: Eukaryota; Viridiplantae; Streptophyta; Magnoliopsida; Poales; Poaceae. RNAcentral also lists the same sequence under 2 other names. The record is from RNAcentral.